RNAcentral lists this unclassified non-coding RNA (167 nucleotides) under uncultured fungus. RNAcentral describes it as "sequence contains ITS1". The record is from RNAcentral. Lineage: Eukaryota; Fungi.
ACAAUCCUAGGCGAGGGUAGUUGCUUCGGCGACUAUGCCAAGUCUAAACUGGCCUCCGGGCCUUUAACCCACUGUGAACUGUUUAUUGACUUUGGUCAGAUUGCGUAUGCGCUGGCCAGUUUAUUUUUCACCUAGUCUUGAUUGUCUUAUUGUAAACUUAAUAUCUA